AGGCUGCAGCUAAAUCAAACCCACACAAGUUAACUGGCCGGUCGUUGAAUUCGAUCUAAUCGGAUCUUCGUCGACGAAUCUGCUUACCGAACUUCUUAUAUUU
Cucurbita maxima (winter squash) is the source of this 103-nucleotide small nucleolar RNA. RefSeq annotates it as small nucleolar RNA snoR109. Lineage: Eukaryota; Viridiplantae; Streptophyta; Magnoliopsida; Cucurbitales; Cucurbitaceae. The record is from RefSeq and is a predicted model, not a curated record. The transcript has a single exon.